This is a long non-coding RNA of Aethalodelphis obliquidens (Pacific white-sided dolphin), 880 nucleotides long. RefSeq lists it as uncharacterized. The record is from RefSeq and is a predicted model, not a curated record. The transcript is spliced from 3 exons. NCBI's taxonomy places the organism in Eukaryota, Metazoa, Chordata, Mammalia, Artiodactyla, Delphinidae.
GAGUGGUCCAUGUGGCAAGGAACUGAGUAACCCUGUCGAAAACCAGAAAAAGGUUUCUGCCAACAGCUAUAUGAGAGCCAGCCCUCCGCUGACAGUCACGUGAGUCAGCCGUUUCAGAAGAGGAUUCUUGAGCCCCAGUCGAGCUGUUAGAUUUCUGCAGCCCCAGCCAGUAUACCCUCCUGAGAGAAGCAGAGCCAGACCACUCAGUGGAGCCUCUCCCGAAUUCCUGAGCCACCAAAACUCAUCAAGUCUUUGAUUUUGCUACUACCAAAAUGGUCUGGAUUAUCGUACUCAAAGCCUGGAUACUGCUGGCAAGGCAAACUAUGGUGUUGAAGUUCAAAGACAAAUAAGACGCAGUUGCAGUUCUUGAGAUAUCUGUCAUCUGAUGGAUGAAAGAAACACAAACAAAUGUUUUGAAGUGAAAUAAAAGAGAAUGUGAAGUCAGACCAUUGCCAGACACAAAGGAAUACCUGUGACAGUGCCAACUUGUAAUGCAGCCACUAACACGAAGGGAGAGGUGGGCAUAAGACAGGGAGUAAAUGGAGGGGUGAAUAGUAAGAGCUAAUUAAAUGCUUGUUUACUGGAUCUUGAAAUUAUUGGAGAUUUUUGUCAAAUGUUUAAUUUUCAUAUGCAAUCUAGAAUAUUAGUACAAUUUUGCAUAUUACAUUUAGAGAGUAACAUGUUUGUAUAAUAACAUUAAAAAUUUUUCUAAUUUUUCUGUAUAUUAUAUGCACUAAAACUUUGUAAAAUAUAUUAACUCCUCUUCCAAAAAUCAAUAAUCUAUCAUCUUGUAGAAGGCACUUGUUUGCUCAAAGUUACAUGUAAAUAAAAUUCUAUGACCAUUUUUUUUAAUUUUAAUUUUUAUUUUUUUUGCGGUACG